GCUCCACAAGCCCAGCUCCCUCAGCCUCUCUUCCCAGCAGAGCUCCUGCAGCCUCUGGGCAUCCUCGCGGCCUCCCCACGUCCUUCUGGGGCUGGGGCCCUUCCUCUCCUCACUCCUGCAUUCAGCCCCUCUCUGCAGCACUCUUUGCUUUCCUCCUUUCCAGAUAAGGCAAGGAAACUGUGCAAAGACACAUCCGUGGAAUUCAUCGAGGCUUAUGUCCGCGGCACAGAAAAGGACAAGGAGGCGCAGAAGAUGCUGUUCCUCAGCAAAAUCUGCGCUCUGUGCAGAACUGUUUCGGAGAAGGGCUUGACGCUGGACUUGCAUGCCUUCUGCCGCAAAAAUAAGCUGGUGGAGAACAUCAUGGCGCUGCUGGAAAAGGAGCCCAUGGACAGCUUGCGCACAGAAUUUCGGCAGAAGGCCAUGGAGACCAUCGCCGUCCUCAGCAACACCGUGCCGAGAGCACUGCACGGCAAAAAGGAGAGUCUCCGGAACGCGUGCUACAGGAGCGUCUUCUUUCUGCCUCCGGAGUCGGAUGUGCCAGAGACAGAAAGAGCGCUCUACACCAAGGUAUGUGCUGGGCGAGGUACCGGCACCCCCAGUCCUGCUGAGCUGCUGCCUUGCUUCCCCGUGCUGAGACAACUGGAGACCAGUGCAGGGCCGGGGCCCAGAUUUGCUUUCCCAGCCUCAUCCCUUCUUCCCCUUCCCCUUCCCUGGCCUGAUCCUGUGCUGCAGGAGGUCUGCACGCAGCAGCUUUUUAGCCCCAAAGCCACCCCUGGGCUCCAGAGGGGCUCAGAGCCAGCUCCUGGGGCUGAGAAGGGCCACAGAAAUAAUUCAGUGAUCAUCUGUCCUCCUUGCAGACUAUGAAUGCCAUGGACCCCAUGCUGGCGGCCUUCGUACGCAACUGUCCCACCGCCAGCAUCAGCGCAGAGUUGCAGAAUAUCUUGGAGGUUUGGCAUUUGCAAAGAAUUUCCAAAGAAUCCUCUCAGGUCACAUUUGCAGACCCCUGUCAGCCCAGCAACUUCUCUCCUUGCAGGUGCU
This 1038-nucleotide long non-coding RNA is filed under the name Anser cygnoides (Swan goose). Its description in RNAcentral is "lncRNA (ENSACDG00005008520.1)". Lineage: Eukaryota; Metazoa; Chordata; Aves; Anseriformes; Anatidae. The record is from RNAcentral.